UCGAGAAUCUUCGGCAAUGGGCGCAAGCCUGACCGAGCGACGCCGCGUGGAGGAUGAAGGCCUUCGGGUUGUAAACUCCUGUCAGGGGGGAGGAAAGCCAAGGGGGCUAUCCCUUUUGGUUGACCUAUCCCCAGAGGAAGCACGGGCUAAGUUCGUGCCAGCAGCCGCGGUAAGACGAACCGUGCGAACGUUGUUCGGAAUCACUGGGCUUAAAGGGCGCGUAGGCGGUUUGCUAAGUCGGUGGUGAAAUCCUACGGCUCAACCGUAGAACGGCCGCUGAUACUGGCAUGCUUGAGGGAGGUAGAGGUGUGUGGAACUUCCGGUGGAGCGGUGAAAUGCGUUGAUAUCGGAAGGAACACCGGUGGCGAAAGCGACGCACUGGACCUCUUCUGACGCUGAGGCGCGAAAGCUAGGGUAGCGAACGGGAUUAGAUACCCCCGUAGUCC
RNAcentral lists this ribosomal RNA (446 nucleotides) under uncultured prokaryote. RNAcentral's name for it is "bacterial SSU rRNA". It matches the Rfam family "Bacterial small subunit ribosomal RNA", at positions 355 to 796 of the family's 1533-position model. The record is from RNAcentral.